This 274-nucleotide ribosomal RNA is filed under the name uncultured bacterium. RNAcentral describes it as "partial 16S ribosomal RNA". It matches the Rfam family "Bacterial small subunit ribosomal RNA", at positions 523 to 796 of the family's 1533-position model. The record is from RNAcentral.
AUACGGAGGGUGCAAGCGUUACUCGGAAUCACUGGGCGUAAGGCGCGCGCAGGCGGCUAUUUAAGUUGGAUGUGAAAGCCUAUGGCUCAACCAUAGAACUGCAUCCAAAACUAUUUAGCUAGAGUGUGGGAGAGGAAGAUGGAAUUAGUUGUGUAGGGGUAAAAUCCGUAGAGAUAACUAGGAAUACCAAAAGCGAAGGCAAUCUUCUGGAACACUACUGACGCUGAGGCGCGAAAGCGUUGGGAGCAAACAGGAUUAGAAACCCUAGUAGUCC